GUGUCAGCCGCCGCGGUAAUACGGAGGGGGCGAGCGUUGUUCGGAAUCACUGGGUGUAAAGGGUGCGUAGGCGGUGCGUUAAGUCUGAUGUGAAAGCCCUGGGCUCAACUCAGGAAUUGCAUUGGAAACUGGCGUGCUGGAGUACGGGAGAGGGAAGCGGAAUUCCUGGUGUAGCGGUGAAAUGCGUAGAUACCAGGAGGAACACCGGUGGCGAAGGCGGUUUCCUGGCCCAGUACUGACGCUGAGGCACGAAAGCGUGGGGAGCGAACGGGAUUAGAUACCCCGGUAGUCC
RNAcentral lists this ribosomal RNA (292 nucleotides) under uncultured bacterium. RNAcentral describes it as "partial 16S ribosomal RNA". It matches the Rfam family "Bacterial small subunit ribosomal RNA", at positions 505 to 796 of the family's 1533-position model. The record is from RNAcentral.